CGACAAUUCUUGAUUCUUGCAGAUAAACAUUCUCCAACAACUAUUAAGAGUUGGAUUGCUCUACCUUCAUUUAAUUCCUUGGUGCUUUACUAUUUGAAUCUAGAAUAUUCUUGAAGUCUGAAAGAUGGAUAGAAAAGAGGUAAGUCAUGUAAACUUAUAAACAGGGCACGAACCCCGCUAACAGACAGCUUUGAAGAGAUGAUGAUUUUAGAUCUUGUGAAUUGUUAUGUCAGAGGAAUACAUGCAGAAGAAAACAGGCACCGAAAUAGUUAUUACCAGAGCAAAGUAAAUCUGAACACCUAAAAGAAUAAGAAAGUAUCUUAUGCUUCUCUCUACUCUGAACUGCCUUGAAAAGAGCAAGAAUUUCAUACAUGAGCCUGUAGCACAUUACAAAAUCUGAGUAUGUAUUUGAAAUUCAAAUGCACACAAAGUUCAUGCAUUUUAUUUUCCAGUUGUUCUCAAGACUCCUAAAUAAAGCAUUUCCCCUGUGUGGGCGACCCCUGGGUCCCAUGUGGGGUCAGUGUUUGGGUCUCUCUGAGAGGAUCAGGAAGGCUGCUCUUCCAGGAAGGGCUGCAGGGACCCUGGGAACCGGACCAGUCCAGCUCACAAGUAUGAAGAGAAUGUCGGGAGAGGAAGUGGUGGCUAUGAGUCAGCAUGAGUCAUCUCGUUCCAAUGAGAAUGAAGGCUGAGGUGUGCGCCUUUUUUUUUUUUCCUUCUUAGUCGUGUGUACAUCAUUGGGAAUGGAGGGAAAUAAAUGACUGGAUGGUCGCUGCUUUUUAAGUUUCAAAUUGACAUUCCAGACAAGCGGUGCCUGAGCCCGUGCCUGUCUUCAGAUCUUCACAGCACAGUUCCUGGGAAGGUGGAGCCACCAGCCUCUCCCUGACAAGCAAAGUGGAUCAGCAAAGGCUGCAGUCACCAGCAUCUUUUCCAACCUUAAUGAACUGUAUCCUCAAAAGAACACUAUCAGACUGGCUCUGCCGACUUCCAGUUCUGGAACAAGAUGGUUAAACUCAUUUUUCCCUGCUCUGCUCCUCUAAAUACAACUAAGUACCUUGGAAACUAUUCAGCAGACAAUGAUAAAGGGCUCUGAAAGCUAGAAGAAAAGGUGUACUUGCAAGAAACCUCAGGACUUGAGUAACAGCAACAUGGCAGGCCAGAAAGCAGACCCAGGGAGGAUAGCACAUGUCUUCGGCUACACUGGUGAAGGCAUCGUGCCUGCUCCACAGCACAUUUUUAUUCAAGUCUUGGACGAGCCUGAGGAUGUCUACAAGUGGAAGAAAAGAAGCCACUGGAGCAGAAGGUGGGGAGGAUAAAAUUUGGAGCAAGAUUCUCAAGGAAGCAACAAGAUCCUAAGAUCUUGUUCUCACUAGAGAAUAAUUUCUACAUUAUGCCCAGGUUCUUCUGAGCUAUGAAGGGGCCCAGAUUUAAGGGCUAUUUUUGACACCCUAAAUGUGCUGAGACAAGUCAUUAAGGUGGUCCUGCCAGGACACAGCCAUCUAAAGCAGCAAUCUGCUUCUUGCCAGAAAAUCUCGUGCCUCUGCAGAGCCUUUUCCAGAAUGAACCACACCAUGCUGAGGAAAGGAGAAAGAGACUACCUACUGCAUUUCUGUCACUCGCUGAAAAGGACACUCUGUCAGAAAAUCUUCUAGCAAACUUCAAAGGGCAAAAUCACCCCUUGUUACUGAUAAAGCCCAGAGAGCUUCAGCAGCUAACAUUCCCUGGACAGGGCACAGCAAGGAUUUGAACCUAGGUCAGUCUGGCCAGAACACCCACAAGCUUUCCUUAACUCAGUGUGCUAUCUCCCCACGACUAGGUCACUACUGCUUUAUAAUCACCUUUGUAGCCACCAGUGGAUUUUGCUCAUCAGUAUUUUUCAGGCAAUUGAUACUUUAGAUAUUCAGCUGCAAGACGUAUGCAGUUUUCAUUGACAUCUUUUGGAGAAACUGACAAACCUGGACUUGACUUAAUGCCUUUGGAACCUUCCAAGAUGUUAUAUAACUCUAGAUAGAAGGCUGGGCCUCCAUGAUGUCAGGAAUGUUGCAUUCUUAUUUCCCCAUAGAUAAACCCAUUUGUCCACAAAGUCAAGGAGUCAGGCAGAGGCCCUUGCCAUGGGGCUUUUUAGGAUAAAGCAACAAGCCUGGACUUUGCUCUACAACAGGGUUUUGCAUAGGGAGUGGUAUGACCAGAUCCCUCAAGAAAGAAAGCUUAGAGACCAGGCCAGAGUCCACUGCAGUAGCCCAGUCAAGAGAGGAUGGUGACUUGGACUUGUAGUAGAGCCAGUUAGAAUGAAAGAAAUUGACACAUUCAGAAAUGGUUUUAGAGAUAGAGUCAAACUGGACCUGAUAAAGAACUAGAGAAGCGGAGUGAGGAUAAAGAGAAGAGCCAUGACUGACUCGGAAGAUUUUGUCUUGAAAAACUUGAGAACUCAAGACAGAGUGAAAUAAAAUCACAUGUGGGAAAAAUCUCCUGCUUUGUUUUGGACUACUUUGAAGUGAAAUGCCUGUUAAGCCUAAGUGGGGUAGGUCAUGGCGUACAUGACUGUGGGCUCAGGAUGGAUACAGGCAUUCAGGAGUUGUGAGCAAAUAGAACUUAAAGCCAUGAGAGAAGAAGGGAUCACCAAGAGAGACAGUGUGGCAUAGAGAAGAAAAGGGGUGGAAGACGAUCCCUGGGCAGAAAAGUCCUUAGAGCAGAGGCAACAGGCAUGACCAAGAAGACUAAGAAAGAACAUUCAGUACAGCAGGAGGAGAGCAAAAAAUGUGUGGUAUUCUAGAAGCAAAGAGAAUAAAGGGCUUCAGGAAGGAGCAGUCAAGUGUGUCAAAUAAGAUAAAGACAGACAAGUCCCCUGGAUUGGGUAGGAAUAAAAUAACAACAGACUGCCAUACAAAUGGUUCUAUCUACACCAUCUAAAAGAAUAUAGUUUAUUCUCCAUACAUUUAAGAAACACCUGCCAUAUGCCAGGUAUCCUUUCAAGCACUGAAAUGCAGAUUCAUAAAACAUGGUCUCUGCUCUCAAGGAGCUCACAGUGGUAAGGAGGAAACAGGCAAUAGCGAGUGUUCUCAUUGCAUUCGUGACCCCAUUGAUCUUGCAACAGCCCCAUGCAUCAGUUAUUGCCAUUAUACCAUUUUACCGAUAAGGAAACUGUGGCAGGGAGGGGUCAAGCACCUUGGGUAUUUGACAGCAAAACCAAGGCUUGGUGGUAUCAUAAAACUUCCAAGUAGUAAUUCACAAAGGUGACUGGGAAAUGGAAGUGACCAGAAAUCUUUGCACUAUGAGGACAAGUUCAUGACCCUGAUACAUUCUUGUCCAGGUAGUAUAGCUCCAGACCAAAUGUCUGCGGCCACCCACCCAAAAACUUGUUGGAUAAAAAUGACUACACCUAUAGUCAAAUGAUUUUUGACAAAGGUGCCAAACAGUUAGAUAGGAAAAAGAAAGUUAUUUUCAAUAAAUGUUGCUGGAGCAACCAGAUAUCCAUAUGGAAAAAAAAUCUUGACCACCUACCUCACACCAAACACUAAUAUUAACUUGAGAUGGAUCAUAAACCUAAGUCUGAAAACUAAUAGUAAAGUUCUUGAGAAGAGAACAUGGGAGAAUGUCUUCAUGAUGUUCAGGUAGGCAAAGAUAUUUUAAGACACAAAAAAGCAAUAAGCAUAAAAUUUGUAAAGAGGUGACUGGGGCUUUAUCAAAAUUAAAAUUUAUGUGUAUUAAAAGACAUCAUGAAUAAAGGGAAAAGGGCAGCCACAGACUGGGAGAAACUCUUUACUAUACAUAUACCUAACUGAGG
This 3781-nucleotide long non-coding RNA is filed under the name Homo sapiens (human). RNAcentral describes it as "HSALNT0037745". Lineage: Eukaryota; Metazoa; Chordata; Mammalia; Primates; Hominidae. The record is from RNAcentral.